Triticum dicoccoides is the source of this 1078-nucleotide long non-coding RNA. RefSeq lists it as uncharacterized. Lineage: Eukaryota; Viridiplantae; Streptophyta; Magnoliopsida; Poales; Poaceae. The record is from RefSeq and is a predicted model, not a curated record. The transcript is spliced from 3 exons.
GUUGGUAGGAUUGCGUCCACGGUUUAUUUUCGUCUGGUUAUAUUUCGUCUGGUUUAUUUUCGUCCGGUUUAUUUUCGUCUCAUAUCCCACCACCAUAUCUCCUCACAUUGAUUUUUUUACCCUCACAAUAAAAACAUUCCUAACUUUUCCAAAGUUUCCUAACUAGACACGUUAUAAACGGGCAUGUACCGAUAGCACGUUAUCAAUUAAUAAAAUUUUGUUUUAUGACAAUCAAUUCCAAAUCCUAAUUUUCCUAAUGCAUCGAUCUUUGCCUUUUUUAAGUAGUUAUUUUGAUAGGGAGGGUUUAGCCACGAAAAUCAUCCCUCCAUCGUCGGCUGCAUCCCUCACCCACGUCGCUGUUGCAGGAUCUUCAUCCGUCAUCCUGAGCAAUUGGGGCGGCGAUGCGGGCGAGCUUCACGAUAGUGGGGAGGACCAGGCCGCGGUGAAGGCAGGUCAUGCGCUCCUCACGCUCCACGAACGGAACCUGCGCACGGAGGCGGUAGCGCGGGGUGGCAGCCGGCAAUGAGGCGGCCGCGCUACGUGACGAGCUACGGGUCCCCCUUUGUGAUGUUUUGGCAUCGCUCCUUCAUCGCACAUCCUCAGGCGAUGGCGGUGGUGUCGCUGAUGGCGGCGAGGACAGCAUGUGGCAGCUCCCGAAGCAUGAACACGACCGCACCUCGGGCCUGCCGUCUGCCAAGAUAUGGCUCUGGCCGAUUGACAAUGGAGGUUUGGGAUCCUUCCUCUCAGCACCCACUCCUGGAAGAAUCAGCGGUGCGCCACGCCGAUUGAACCCCGUCGAGAUCACUCGCCAAGAUUGCUAUUCUGAAGUUUAUUGUAAAGAAAGUGAAGAGUGAGACAGGAUCCGUUUAUUUUCAACCGGUUUAUUUCCAUCAAAUUACCCCCACCCCCACGCCCACCCACCGAAACGCGCCCAGCGAACCGGGGAGAGAUCCAUUGAUUUGGCUAAGGUAGGAAAGAAUCUAUUAUUUGUUUGCUAAAGCAAAUUGCAUUAAUGGGAGAGAUCCGUUGAUUUGGCUAAGGUAGGAAAGAAUCUAUUAUUUGUUUGCUAAAGCAAAUU